This 467-nucleotide ribosomal RNA is filed under the name uncultured bacterium. Its description in RNAcentral is "partial 16S ribosomal RNA". It matches the Rfam family "Bacterial small subunit ribosomal RNA", at positions 29 to 507 of the family's 1533-position model. The record is from RNAcentral.
ACGAACGCUGGCGGCGUGCUUAACCCAUGCAAGUCGAACGGAAAGGCCCUGCUUUUGUGGGGUGCUCGAGUGGCGAACGGGUGAGUAACACGUGAGUAACCUGCCCUUGACUUUGGGAUAACUUCAGGAAACUGGGGCUAAUACCGGAUAGGAGCUCCUGCUGCAUGGUGGGGGUUGGAAAGUUUCGGCGGUUGGGGAUGGACUCGCGGCUUAUCAGCUUGUUGGUUGGGUAGUGGCUUACCAAGGCUUUGACGGGAAGCCGGCCUGAGAGGGUGACCGGCCACAUUGGGACUGAGAUACGGCCCAGACUCCUACGGGAGGCAGCAGUGGGGAAUAUUGCACAAUGGGCGGAAGCCUGAUGCAGCAACGCCGCGUGCGGGAUGACGGCCUUCGGGUUGUAAACCGCUUUCGCCUGUGACGAAGCGUGAGUGACGGUAAUGGGUAAAGAAGCACCGGCUAACUACGUG